Molecule: long non-coding RNA, 480 nt
Filed under: Anser brachyrhynchus (Pink-footed goose)
Lineage: Eukaryota; Metazoa; Chordata; Aves; Anseriformes; Anatidae
Description: lncRNA (ENSABRG00000014527.1)
Source: RNAcentral
UUUUUGCAGAACUUGUAUUUAUCUUGUGAUUCCUUGACUGUCAAUAAAUCAUUGUUUUUAUGUUCCUAGAGCAGCAACAAUGAAGCAACUCAGAAAUGGCAUUAGAAUUCCAGUUGGGGUUUUAUUCCAAUACUAUUCAGCAUAAACAGAUGUAGCAGAAAGAUGAGCACCUCUAUAGCAUAACAAUUCAGAUAAUAAAAAGACCAACUGUCAUAAAAGUGACCCACACAGUUUUAAAAGAAGUCGGAGACAGUGAGAGGUGUGUAUUCUUUCAAGAAGAAGCAAAGAGCCACUUUCCAGGCAAGCUGCUAUAGAGGAAACUUUAUGAGUCAACUCAUGACAGAUUAAUCAAUGGGAUUUUUUUUGAAGUUAUCUGUGAUUUAAAAAAAAAAAAAAAAAGGAAAAAAGAAAGAGGAAGAGACAUUUCAUUUGCUAUUUUUCAAGCAAAAAUAUGUCUGAAAUGAAAUAUGUCUGUUUAUU